UCCGGAGGGUGCGAUCGUUAAUCGGAAUUACUGGGCGUAAAGGGCGCGUAGGCGGUGGGUUACGUCUGCCGUGAAAUCCCCGGGCUCAACCUGGGAAUGGCGGUGGAAACGGGCUGACUGGAGUAUGGGAGAGGGUGAUGGAAUUCCAGGUGUAGCGGUGAAAUGCGUAGAGAUCUGGAGGAACACCAGUGGCGAAGGCGGUCACCUGGCCCAAUACUGACGCUGAGGCGCGAAAGCGUGGGGAGAAAACAGG
RNAcentral lists this ribosomal RNA (253 nucleotides) under uncultured bacterium. RNAcentral's name for it is "partial 16S ribosomal RNA". It matches the Rfam family "Bacterial small subunit ribosomal RNA", at positions 524 to 776 of the family's 1533-position model. The record is from RNAcentral.